GCCCAGGUGGCGGAACUGGUAUACGCGUGCGUUCGAGGGGCGCAUGCCGCAAGGCUUGCGGGUUCAAAUCCCGCCCUGGGCACAA
Molecule: transfer RNA, 85 nt
Filed under: Omnitrophica WOR_2 bacterium GWA2_47_8
Lineage: Bacteria; Pseudomonadati; Candidatus Omnitrophota
Description: tRNA-Leu
Rfam family: tRNA
About the family: Transfer RNA (tRNA) molecules are approximately 80 nucleotides in length. Their secondary structure includes four short double-helical elements and three loops (D, anti-codon, and T loops).
Source: RNAcentral